This 594-nucleotide ribosomal RNA is filed under the name Fusarium oxysporum. Its description in RNAcentral is "eukaryotic LSU rRNA". The stretch from base 208 to 361 matches the Rfam family "5.8S ribosomal RNA". Lineage: Eukaryota; Fungi; Ascomycota; Sordariomycetes; Hypocreales; Nectriaceae. The record is from RNAcentral.
UUUGGUAGUAAAAGUCGUAACAAGGUCGUCCGUUGGUGUGACCAGCGGAGGGAUCAUUACCGAGUUUACAACUCCCAAACCCCUGUGAACAUACCAAUUGUUGCCUCGGCGGAUCAGCCCGCUCCCGGUAAAACGGGACGGCCCGCCAGAGGACCCCUAAACUCUGUUUCUAUAUGUAACUUCUGAGUAAAACCAUAAAUAAAUCAAAACUUUCAACAACGGAUCUCUUGGUUCUGGCAUCGAUGAAGAACGCAGCAAAAUGCGAUAAGUAAUGUGAAUUGCAGAAUUCAGUGAAUCAUCGAAUCUUUGAACGCACAUUGCGCCCGCCAGUAUUCUGGCGGGCAUGCCUGUUCGAGCGUCAUUUCAACCCUCAAGCCCCCGGGUUUGGUGUUGGGGAUCGGCGAGCCCUUGCGGCAAGCCGGCCCCGAAAUCUAGUGGCGGUCUCGCUGCAGCUUCCAUUGCGUAGUAGUAAAACCCUCGCAACUGGUACGCGGCGCGGCCAAGCCGUUAAACCCCCAACUUCUGAAUGUUGACCUCGGAUCAGGUAGGACCCCAUUUCCCGCUGAACUUAAGCAUAUCAAUAGGCCGGAGGAA